UACAGAGGGUGCAAGCGUUGUUCGGAAUUAUUGGGCGUAAAGGGCGCGUAGGCGGUGCGGUAAGUCUGUAGUGAAAUCUCUGGGCUCAACUCAGAGUCUGCUGCAGAAACUGCCGUGCUUGAGUGUGGGAGAGGUGAGUGGAAUUCCCGGUGUAGCGGUGAAAUGCGUAGAGAUCCGGAAGAACACCGGUGGCGAAGGCGGCAUCCUGGACCAUUACUGACGCUGAGGCGCGAAAGCUAGGGGAGCAAACGGG
Molecule: ribosomal RNA, 253 nt
Filed under: uncultured bacterium
Lineage: Bacteria
Description: partial 16S ribosomal RNA
Rfam family: Bacterial small subunit ribosomal RNA
Source: RNAcentral